GGGUUUCAAACCCUCAGGACAGUAUUUACAAUCAUUACUUACCUCGAACCGGCUAAUCCUCUAGCUCACGAUGCCUUUGUCUCUCAAAUCGACCUCUGAAUGCCUCGAAUCUAGCCACAAUAAUUCGAUUUAGUUAAUAAAAAUUAUAGGAAUUAAUUCCAUAUAAAUUCUACAUUUUCCAUUAAAAAUCUGAAAUUGCACUCAAAAUUUGCCCGUGGGGCCCACAUCUCAGAACCCGACAAAAAUUAUAGAAUAUGAAACCUCAUCCAACCACGAGUCCAACCAUACCAAUUUUACUAAAAUCCGACAUCAACUCGACCCUCAAAUCUUCAAAUUAAACCAAGAGGAUUUUCAAGAUUUUCCCAACUAAAAUCACCAAUUAAAUGCCAAAACUAGUAAUAAAUUCGGGUAAUCUAACCAAAAUUAAUUUAAGAAUACUUACCUCGUUGUUUUCUCUGAAAAUCUCCCGAAAAUCGCCUCUCCCCGAGCUCCAAUUUGGUAAAAAUGGAAAAUGGGAUUCGUCCCAUUUUCCAGAACUUAACAUUCUGUC
Molecule: long non-coding RNA, 550 nt
Filed under: Nicotiana tabacum (common tobacco)
Lineage: Eukaryota; Viridiplantae; Streptophyta; Magnoliopsida; Solanales; Solanaceae
Description: long non-coding RNA (NTAB_LNC004838)
Source: RNAcentral